AGAGCGAACGCUGGCGGCAGGCUUAACACAUGCAAGUCGAGCGGGCGUAGCAAUACGUCAGCGGCAGACGGGUGAGUAACGCGUGGGAACAUACCUUUUGGUUCGGAACAACCCAGGGAAACUUGGGCUAAUACCGGAUAAGCCCUUACGGGGAAAGAUUUAUCGCCGAAAGAUUGGCCCGCGUCUGAUUAGCUAGUUGGUGAGGUAACGGCUCACCAAGGCGACGAUCAGUAGCUGGUCUGAGAGGAUGAUCAGCCACAUUGGGACUGAGACACGGCCCAAACUCCUACGGGAGGCAGCAGUGGGGAAUAUUGGACAAUGGGCGCAAGCCUGAUCCAGCCAUGCCGCGUGAGUGAUGAAGGCCCUAGGGUUGUAAAGCUCUUUUGUGCGGGAAGAUAAUGACGGUACCGCAAGAAUAAAGCCCCGGCUAACCUUCGCGCCAGCAGCCGC
This 450-nucleotide ribosomal RNA is filed under the name uncultured bacterium. RNAcentral describes it as "SSU rRNA". It matches the Rfam family "Bacterial small subunit ribosomal RNA", at positions 26 to 518 of the family's 1533-position model. The record is from RNAcentral.